GCUGUUAUUUGGUAACAAGAUGGCGAUCGGGCAGCAGUGGGUUCUAGUGGAAAUGGUUCAGGCUUUUUAUGAGGCUCCAGCUUACCAUCUAAUUCUGGAAGGUAUCCUCAUUUUAUGGAUAGUAAGACUACUUUUCUCUAAAACCUACAAGCUUCAGGAGCGUUCUGACCUGACAGAAAAGGAGAAAGAAGAACUUAUUGAGGAAUGGCAACCAGAGCCACUUGUUCCACCAAUAUCAAAAGACCACCCUGCCCUUAACAACAAUAUUGUCUCAGGCCCUCCAACUCACAACAUAGUGGUUAAUGAUAGAAGGUGCAUAAAUUUUGCGUCCUUCAAUUUUCUCGGGUUGCUAGAUAAUGAAAAAGUUAAGAAUGUGGCUUUGACUUCCCUGAAAAAAUAUGGUGUUGGUACAUGUGGUCCUAGAGGGUUUUAUGGAACAUUUGAUGUUCAUUUGGAGCUAGAAGAUAGAAUUGCUAAGUUUAUGAGAACCGAAGAAGCUAUUAUUUACUCUUAUGGAUUUGCUACAAUAGCCAGUGCCAUUCCAGCAUACUCUAAGAGAGGCGAUCUGGUGUUUGUGGAUGAAGCUGCAUGCUUUGCUAUUCAAAAAGGUUUGCAAGCUUCACGCAGCAACAUAAAGUAUUUUAAACACAAUGAUAUGGAUGACCUGGAACGGUUGCUUAAAGAACAAGAACUUGAGGACCAGAAAAAUCCUCGCAAAGCACGUGUAACCCGACGAUUUCUGGUAGUGGAGGGAUUGUACAUGAAUACUGGAUACAUUUGUCCACUCCCAGAGCUGGUAAAAUUAAAAUAUAAAUACAAAGUACGGAUAUUUUUGGAAGAAAGUUUAUCCUUUGGAGUUUUAGGAGAGCGUGGACGAGGUGUAACUGAACACUUUGGGGUGAAUAUUAAUGACAUUGACCUUAUAAGCGCAAAUAUGGAGAACUCCUUGGCCUCUAUUGGAGGAUUUUGCUGUGGAAGAUCCUUUGUUAUUGAUCACCAGCGUCUUUCAGGACAAGGUUAUUGUUUCUCUGCAUCUUUGCCACCAAUGCUUGCUUCUGCUGCGAUAGAAGCUCUCAACAUCAUGGAGGAUGACCCAGAUAUUUUCAGAGUAUUAAGACAAAAGUGCCAGCAAAUCCAUUAUGCAUUGCAGGGUAUCUCUGGCCUCAAAGUUGUGGGUGAAUCAUUUUCUCCAGCCAUUCACCUGUUGUUGGCAAGGAGCAGAGGAUCGCGAGAGAAUGAUGUUAGGCUUCUUCAGGAAAUUGUUGAUUACUGCAUGAAACGAGGGAUCGCACUAACUCAAGCACGCUACUUAGAUAAAGAAGAAAGAAUUUUGCCUCCUCCAAGAAUGUGGGAGUCACUGGCUGGGUCAGCAUUUAUUGCCUGUCUCCAGUUGCCCGUGAGGAGGUGAUGUGCAACCACCUUGAUCUGCAAUCUGUGCUCUGCAUUGAUGACCCACGUCUCAUUGAUUGCAAUCAGCAGCAACUUUGGAGAGUAGCAAAACUACUGGAAGCUGAUUCUGGAUUUCAAUGUUAUUCUAUCCCUAUGUGGUCUCUAGAGUUGAUUGUGCGGGUAGUGACUACUAUCAAAUUAACAGAGGAAGAGUUAGACAAGGCUGCAGCGUUGAUCAAGGAAGCAUCCGAAUGCAUCCUUCACUAGGAUCGCCUGAUAUUUGUGAACCAGAAGUCACACAGGGAUGUCAUGCUAUAUUUGCAGAAUGUGUGGAAAUAGAUCAUUAUCUACUGAAUUUAAGGAUGACCAACUACAGGAUUGUCUUUUUAACACUUGGUUAAAAUUAUGGAAACUGUACUAAUGAAGUUGAGUGCAUUUGUCUUGCAAAUGUGGGCAAAGAAUGAUUGUUUGAAAAUGUGGUCGACUAAGGGCCAGAAACCUUUCACUCUUAGUUUCUUAUCCAGGAUAUUCUCUACAUUUUGUAAUAAAUGUAUUUUUGCAACAUUUAUGACAGCUGUGUGCCUAAAGGAUUUAGUUGGUAAUUUCAUAUUUAAAUAAGAAUGUGGUGUAAAGGUUUAACUUUGUACAAAAGUUAAAUGUAUAGCUUAAAUGAAUGUUUGCUAAUUAUACUAUAAAACUAUUUUUCAUGCCUGUCUAAUGGGAAUUUAACUCUUUUUGGUUGCCACACAUUCAGAGGAACACUUACCAUUAUUGAUAUUGGUGUGCAUGUGUUAUUUUCUAGGGUCUUGAUUCUGUUUGAAAUUAAGAUGGAAGUGGCUGAAGAAAGUUUGCUAAUCACCUUUAAUUUUAGGUUAAAAAGAAAUCAUUUAACUGUAAUAAAUUCAUUUUAAGUGUGAUAGCAUGUUUCAUUUUGUUUGGAAUUAGAAAUUGUGCUUUGGGAGGGGUCAGACAACAUAGUGUUAAUGGCUAGCAAAAAUCACCUAAUGCUACUUGUUCAAUCUUCCUAUUGAAUUUUCACUUUUAACCCCAAACGUUUGGUAGAUUUAUACUGUAGAUCAUCAAUUUGUAAAUAUGAUGGGAUCUAGAUGAGUUUCUACAUGAUCCUAUUCAACCUUUCAACAGGUCAAAUCCUUUAUGUAAUGGUAUGCAUUUGAGUAAAUUAGAGUUCAGCUGCAUUAGUUUUAAACUGCGUAAUAAUUCAUCUGCUGAUAACCUUUUUAUUCAAAUUUCUGGAAGGUAAAUACUGAUUUGCAUGUGAUAUGACUUAAGUCAUAUCAUCAAUAUCUUUUUGUAUUGGCAAGCGUAGGAAAUACAAGUGACACUUUUUGCUCUACAAUUUAUAAAUGUAUUUGUUACUUUUCCAAAUAAAUUGGUUUCAUAUCCAUUUUUAACUUAAUUACAGGAUUUGCAGCACUAAAUGUAAGAACUGCAAGAUUUUUUUAAGAUGUUCAUUUAAUAUAAAACACUUGUAAAACAAUUUUAAAAUUACCCAAAGGGAAAUGGUACUAUAAAAGUAUUCUGCAUUCUUUGUGAUUAGGGAGUUUAUUUCCGUCAUCUAUGUGCUGUUUACUGUUAAAUUUAGUGUAUUACUUUAUUCAGGACCUAAAAACAACAUCCGUCUUAGUAUUGAUUACUUUUGAAAAAUAUGGGCUUGUCAGAUGCAUUUGUUAUGUACCUCUACUUUAUAAUUACAGUACACACAUGCAUGCAAAAAUUUCACAACAUUUAAACAGAUAAGUAAUAUGUGACAUUGCAAGUACUGUUUUCAUUGGAGUUAAACGAUGGCCACUAUUCUAAUUGUAGUUGACUUUCUCAGCUGCAUAAUAAAACCAAAAAUCACAAGUACAAGUGUUUUGUAUAUUAUCAAAAUAUAUACCACAAUAAAAUUUUAUACUUGGUACUGA
Stegostoma tigrinum is the source of this 3314-nucleotide RNA transcript. It is a transcript of the gene named serine palmitoyltransferase, long chain base subunit 1, with no coding region annotated. Lineage: Eukaryota; Metazoa; Chordata; Chondrichthyes; Orectolobiformes; Stegostomatidae. The record is from RefSeq and is a predicted model, not a curated record. The transcript is spliced from 16 exons.